RNAcentral lists this ribosomal RNA (253 nucleotides) under uncultured bacterium. RNAcentral's name for it is "partial 16S ribosomal RNA". It matches the Rfam family "Bacterial small subunit ribosomal RNA", at positions 524 to 776 of the family's 1533-position model. The record is from RNAcentral.
UACGUAGGGGGCUAGCGUUGUUCGGAAUUACUGGGCGUAAAGCGCUCGUAGGCGGCUUUGUAAGUUAGAGGUGAAAGCCCGGGGCUCAACCCCGGAAUAGCCUUUAAGACUGCAUCGCUUGAAUCCGGGAGAGGUGAGUGGAAUUCCGAGUGUAGAGGUGAAAUUCGUAGAUAUUCGGAAGAACACCAGUGGCGAAGGCGGCUCACUGGACCGGUAUUGACACUGAGGUGCGAAAGCGUGGGGAGCAAACAGG